Molecule: long non-coding RNA, 1118 nt
Organism: Phacochoerus africanus (Common warthog)
Lineage: Eukaryota; Metazoa; Chordata; Mammalia; Artiodactyla; Suidae
Exons: 2
Source: RefSeq, a predicted model, not a curated record
GUUCAGUGUGUAGGAAGAAGGUGAUCCAGCAUGAAGGAACGGAGAACACCUGCUGCCAGCAAGCUUUUCUCAUUUAAACUGGUGAUAAUCUGGUGGGUUUCUGAUCCAGGAUCCAAAUGCCUGCUUCCGAAGUGCACGCCAGGCCUCCUGGUCUCACUGGACAGCUCACCACCAUUGCCAGCAGGACACCUGAGCAAUCGACUGGACAGAUUUAUUACAAGAGACUUAGGAACAGAAGGAUAUUGUUAUGCUGUCCUAGAGCGACUCUUAUUUCUCUGUAAGGAAUUCACCAGAAAACAACAUGGAUUAAAAGAGGUAAGAAUAAGCAGAAUGCUAGUUUGGUCUGGUCCUGGUGGAAUCAGAUAAAAGAAGAACAACUGUAUCUUCCUCUUGGUUUUGUAGUUGUUAUUUCCUUACUUUUGCUUUUUAGGGCUGUACCUGUGACAUAUGGAAAUUCCCAAGCUAACGGUUGAAUCUGAGCUAUAGCUGCCAGCCGAUACCAAAGCCAUAGCAACUCAGGAUCCAAGCCUCGUCUGUGACCUACUGCUCACAGCAAUGCCGGAUCGAACCCGCAUACUCAUGGAUACCAGUCGGGUUUGUUACUGCUGAGCCACAACAGGGACUCCAGAACUGCCCUUCUUCAUGGCGUAUACACUCACGGACGCCCCUGGUUUACCUGGGACAAGGCCAGACACAGACCCUCCGAACGCCCAUUCGUUGUCUCAGGAUUACUGAACUGUUCAUACCCACUGACAGCAUCUCGACAAAACCUGCUAACUUAGCCAAAUAUUAGUUAUGCUUCUCUCCUUUCCCCAGACCCCGAACUGCGAGGCACCCUUGGCCUGAGCCACCAUGAGCACGUCUAAGAACCUCUUCCUCACGGCCCCUCCUCAAAGUCAACAUUUCCUGUUCAACGGUCAUCAAAGCACCCGCUCAUCCAUCCUGUUCUCAUUCCUGGUUCUAACUUAACCUCUCCGUGUACACACCUCUGCUCCUGCUAUUAGAGAGGCUUACAGAUCUUGAGACUGUGGCACUCCUGCAAGUGCAUGAGUCCUCCUCUUCCUAUUGUCACAGGCCCCUUCUCUUACUGCAAUAAUCCUUUAUUUAUUAUUUAUUUA